CCUACGGGAGGCAGCAGUGGGGAAUAUUGCGCAAUGGGCGAAAGCCUGACGCAGCGACGCCGCGUGAGGGAUGAAGGUCUUCGGAUCGUAAACCUCUGUCAGCAGGGAAGAACGGUCACUGUGCUAAUCAGCAGCGAAUUGACGGUACCUGCUAAGGAAGCACCGGCUAACUAAGUGCCAGCAGCCGCGGUAAUACGGAGGGUGCGAGCGUUAAUCGGAAUUAUUGGGCGUAAAGCGGUCGUAGGCGGUUUGUUAAAUCCAGGGGUAAAUCCCCGGGGUGAAACGGCGAACCGCCUUUGAAACUAGCAAACUAGAGUUAGUGAGAGGAUAGCGGAAUUCCAGGUGAAGGAGUGAAAUCCGUAGAUAUAUGGAGGAACAUCAGAGGCGAAGGCGACUAUCUGGGACAUAACUGACGCUGAGGGGCGAAAGCGUGGGGAGCAAACAGGAUUAGAUACCCGGGUAGUC
This 465-nucleotide ribosomal RNA is filed under the name uncultured bacterium. Its description in RNAcentral is "partial 16S ribosomal RNA". It matches the Rfam family "Bacterial small subunit ribosomal RNA", at positions 338 to 795 of the family's 1533-position model. The record is from RNAcentral.